GACGAACGCUGGCGGCGUGCUUAACACAUGCAAGUCGAACGGAAAGGCCCUGCUUUUGUGGGGUGCUCGAGUGGCGAACGGGUGAGUAACACGUGAGUAACCUGCCCUUGACUUUGGGAUAACUUCAGGAAACUGGGGCUAAUACCGGAUAGGAGCUCCUGCUGCAUGGUGGGGGUUGGAAAGUUUCGGCGGUUGGGGAUGGACUCGCGGCUUAUCAGCUUGUUGGUGGGGUAGUGGCUUACCAAGGCUUUGACGGGUAGCCGGCCUGAGAGGGUGACCGGCCACAGUGGGACUGAGAUACGGCCCAGACUCCUACGGGAGGCAGCAGUGGGGAAUAUUGCACAAUGGGCGGAAGCCUGAGGCAGCGACGCCGCGUGCGGGAUGACGGCCUUCGGGUUGUAAACCGCUGUCGCCUGUGACGAAGCGUGAGUGACGGUAAUGGGUAAAGAAGCACCGGCUAACUACGUG
Molecule: ribosomal RNA, 468 nt
Filed under: uncultured bacterium
Lineage: Bacteria
Description: partial 16S ribosomal RNA
Rfam family: Bacterial small subunit ribosomal RNA
Source: RNAcentral